CAGGGCUCUAAAAUAUUUCAGUUUCAAACUACACCUGGAGUCGAUAGGUUUGUCUUAAUUUCUGAUAAAUCGCAACCAAACUUAGUCCUUUAGGUGUGAGCCAUCAUGUGCUGCCAAAGCCGCUACUACCGGGAGACACCCUGUGUCCAGUGCUGCCUAGUCGAUUGCAGCUACUGCUGCUAUCGAACACAAUGCGCGGGUCCCUGUGGCCCCUGCAGGACUGCGGCGCCUUGCUGCUGCGGAGCUGUCGGCGAUCUCAACUACAAAUACUCCUUCUUUGGACUGCAUUUACUCUAGGCGGAAAUCGAUGUAAUUCCUUUGUCUCCCCUCCUAGCAGCGGCAGCAGCAGCACUUGACUCAUCGACCUUGACCUUAGACUAACUGCGACUCCCGAAAUUUGUUCUGCAAAAUUAUCAGUUGAAAAUAUAUGUCAAAACAUCCAGCCCAGUCGGUAUUGCUCGUCUAGGAGCUGCUCUGAGCGCUUUAAACAGCAGAUAUUGCCAUUCAUUUCUUAGUAAAUCUCUAGAUCGCACGGCGUAUAAGUUAAACAGGAAAAAAGUCAACACAAGUUA
Molecule: small RNA, 572 nt
Filed under: Drosophila mojavensis
Lineage: Eukaryota; Metazoa; Arthropoda; Insecta; Diptera; Drosophilidae
Description: GI27012
Source: RNAcentral